AACAUGGAAGCUAGCAAGGGUUGAGUCUGGAAAAAUAGAAUGGGGUCAAAUUAGGGAAAGUCUUAACACCUUGUUUGGCAGUUUGACUUUUAUCCUGUAGGGAGGCCAACAUCUCUCAGUAGUGUGAUCCGUAGACCACUUGCAUCAGGACAACCUGUAAUGCUUUACUUAAAAUCUACAAUCACCCCCGGCCUUCUAAAUGAGAAUCCUCAAGGGUAGGAAUAUGCAAUUGUAACAAGCUCCCUUAGGUGGAUUCUUCAUUAAACUUCAUUAAGUUUUGAAAAACACAGUAUGUGAAUGAUGGGAGGUCAAAGAUUUUUUUUUAAAGGUUCUCUGAUCAAGAAUUUAGUACUUUUAUCUGGAAAUAGGUGUGUAUACAACUCUGCACAUUCAUCAAGCUCUACACUUAAGAUUAGUGAACAUUAGACACUUUAUGUGUUUUGCCAUUUUUUAAAAAUUGGUGGUAUAAAAUUCAAAUCACAAACUGAGGAUGAUGGCCAUUGGGAGAGAAGAAUUUCUCAAUCAAGUCUUUUUGAAGUCCUGUCUUUUUUUUUAAGAUUUUAUUUAUAUAUCCAUGAGACAGACACAAAGAGAGGCACAGACACAGGCAGAGGGAGAAGCAGGCUCCUUGCAGGGAGCUUGAUGUGGGAUUCGAUCCCCAGACCCGAGAUCACGCCCUGAGCCAAAGCCCGGAACCAAAGUCAGACACUCCCCCAGGCAUUCCUGAAGUCCCGUCCUUACUGUAGUCUUAUACCAGUGUUAUAUUAAUUAAACAAGGCAAAUAGACUAAGGUGGCUUUAAUGCUUAGCAGCCUAUGUGAGGAAACCAAAAACUAAGCCCGUAAUUCCAUCAGUGUUAAAAAACUGAAGACUAAGGACAGCCAGGCACAAAUGGCCAACUAGUCUUUUCCAAGUAAGGCAACCACUUGAGCAACAGCCAAUCAAAUCAUUUCUUUGGUUUGCUUUGUGAUCUUAUAAAAGUCUUUUCCCUAGUUCCUGUCACCAGAGGCAUCUAACUACUUCCCAUUUGGUUGGUACUGCCCAACUGAAAUUGAUCUUUGCUCAAAUAAACUCUUAAAACUUUUAA
Long non-coding RNA from Canis lupus familiaris (dog), 1086 nucleotides. RefSeq lists it as uncharacterized. The transcript is spliced from 2 exons. NCBI's taxonomy places the organism in Eukaryota, Metazoa, Chordata, Mammalia, Carnivora, Canidae. The record is from RefSeq and is a predicted model, not a curated record.